CAACGCGAAGAACCUUACCAAGGCUUGACAUGAACCGGUAAUACCUGGAGACAGGUGCCCCGCUUGCGGUCGGUUUACAGGUGGUGCAUGGUUGUCGUCAGCUCGUGUCGUGAGAUGUUGGGUUAAGUCCCGCAACGAGCGCAACCCUCGUUCUAUGUUGCCAGCACGUGAUGGUGGGGACUCAUAGGAGACUGCCGGGGUCAACUCGGAGGAAGGUGGGGACGACGUCAAAUCAUCAUGCCCCUUAUGUCUUGGGCUUCACGCAUGCUACAAUGGCCGGUACAAAGGGUUGCGAUACUGUGAGGUGGAGCUAAUCCCAAAAAGCCGGUCUCAGUUCGGAUUGGGGUCUGCAACUCGACCCCAUGAAGUCGGAGUCGCUAGUAAUCGCAGAUCAGCAACGCUGCGGUGAAUACGUUCCCGGGCCUUGUACACACCGCCCGUCAAGUCACGAAAGUUGGUAACACCCGAAGCCGGUGGCCUAACCCCUUGUGGGAGGGAGCUGUCGAAGGGUGGGACUGGCGAUUGGGACUAAGUCGUAACAAGGUAGCCGUACCGGAAGGUGCGGCUGGAUCACCUCCUUUCUAAGGA
This 588-nucleotide ribosomal RNA is filed under the name Vibrio cholerae. RNAcentral's name for it is "bacterial SSU rRNA". It matches the Rfam family "Bacterial small subunit ribosomal RNA", at positions 957 to 1533 of the family's 1533-position model. Lineage: Bacteria; Pseudomonadati; Pseudomonadota; Gammaproteobacteria; Vibrionales; Vibrionaceae. The record is from RNAcentral.